Molecule: ribosomal RNA, 1389 nt
Filed under: Aeletes sp. NLG-2014
Lineage: Eukaryota; Metazoa; Arthropoda; Insecta; Coleoptera; Histeridae
Description: partial 16S ribosomal RNA
Rfam family: Microsporidia small subunit ribosomal RNA (bases 1-389)
Source: RNAcentral
UAGGCUUGAAAAUUAAAAAUUCUGGCGGUAUUUUAGUCCAUUCAGAGGAACCUGUCCUGUAAUUGAUAUCCCACGAUGGAUUUUACUGGUCUUAGAAGUUUGUAUAUCGUCGUAGCUUGAAGAUUUUAUAAGAAUUAAUUUUUAAAGAUUUUUAUUAAAUAAUAAAUCAGAUCAAGGUGCAGCCCAUAGAUCAGUAGAGAUGGGUUACAUUAAAUUUAUUUAUGGAUUUUUAUUUUAAAAAUAAGAUGAAAUUGGAUUUGAUAGUAAUAAAAUGGUCUUUCUUUUUUUGAUUUAGGCUCUAAAAUAUGUACAUAUCGCCCGUCGCUUUCAUUUAAAUUGAAAUAAGUCGUAACAAAGUAGGUGUACUGGAAAGUGUAUCUGGAAUGACAAGUUAGAGCUUGGUAUAAGCAUUUUAUUUACAUUAAAGAGUUGACUGUGAAACUCAGUUUAAUGAAAUCUAGUUAUUAUUGUUGUUUUAGUUUUUGAUAGUUUUUAUUGAAAUAUUAUUUUGUUUUAUUAGCUUUAUUGAAAUAAUUGUUUAUAUGAUAGGGGAUUAGUACUGUGAAGGAACUUAACUUAAUUAAUUUAAAGAAGACUUUUUUUGUCGUACCUUGUGUAUCAGGGGUUAAUUAUAUAAUGAUUUAUUUAAAUUAUUCCCGAAAAUUAAAGAGCUAAAAUUAAAUAUAUUUUACUGUGUCAUAAGUAUUUAUAAUUUAAUUUUUGUAAUGAAAUGUUAUUCGUUUUAAUUUAUAUCUGGUUUGUUAAGAAUUUAAUUUAAUUAAGCUUUUUUACUUAGAUGAUUUUUUUUUAAUUUUCUAGGUUUAAUUGUAAUAUCUCUUGGGAUGAGCUAGGAUUUAUAUUACUAUAAGAGAUUUCAAUAGUGAUUUUAUUUAUGAUUAGUAGUUUCUUUUCUUAGGGUUGUUUUAUAACUCAUAAUCUUUUUAUAUUAUUUUUAUUUUCUUUAGGGGUUUUAUUAACGUGAUCUAGAUAACUUAAAUUUAGUUGUUAUAAUGUUAGUACUAGUAUAAUUUUUUUAAAAAUUAAAGGUUUUAGUGAGGUUAAUUUAAGGAAUUCGGCAAAUAUAGUUUUCGCCUGUUUAUUAAAAACAUGUCCUCUUGUCUUUAAUAUGAGGUCUGACCUGCCCACUGAUUAUUGAAGGGCUGCGGUAUUUUGACCGUACAAAGGUAGCAUAAUCAUUAGUUUCUUAAUUAGAAGCUUGUAUGAACGGUUGGACGAGAAACUUUCUGUCUCAGUUUAAUUUGUUUAGAAUUUUAUAUUUAAGUAAAAAAGCUUAAAUUUUUUUGAAAGACGAGAAGACCCUAUAGAGUUUUAUUUAUUUUUGAUUAAAAAUUUGUUGGUAUAUUUAUGUUUUUUGUUUUAUAAUAAAUU